Molecule: ribosomal RNA, 253 nt
Filed under: uncultured bacterium
Lineage: Bacteria
Description: partial 16S ribosomal RNA
Rfam family: Bacterial small subunit ribosomal RNA
Source: RNAcentral
GACAGAGGGGGCAAGCGUUGCUCGGAAUCACUGGGCGUAAAGGGCGCGUAGGCGGCCUUUCAAGUGACGGGUGAAAUCCCUCGGCUUAACCGAGGAACUGCCUGUCAGACUGGAAGGCUUGAGACCGGGAGAGGUGAGUGGAAUUCCCAGUGUAGCGGUGAAAUGCGUAGAUAUUGGGAGGAACACCAGUGGCGAAGGCGGCUCACUGGACCGGUACUGACGCUGAGGCGCGAAAGCGUGGGGAGCAAACAGG